This 521-nucleotide long non-coding RNA is filed under the name Homo sapiens (human). RNAcentral describes it as "non-protein coding LINC01622:15". Lineage: Eukaryota; Metazoa; Chordata; Mammalia; Primates; Hominidae. The record is from RNAcentral.
GCUCGAGGCUGGACUUUAAGGCAGAGCACUGCAAUUAUAGUGCUAUGGCCUUGGCUUCCUUUCUCAUCACCCAGGUACAGUCCUGCAGUCCUCAGAGGAUGCCAGUCCCACACAGGGGGAUCCUUCUCCAUAGGAAAACCGAGGAACAAUGCAGGUUCGAGGUGCACAGUGGCUAAGCACACUCAGUCCUCAAGAUCUUUCCUCUCAAAUGCUAAUGCUACCUUCAGAUGGGCUGCUGCCUGCUACCAUUUCAACAUUGAGUCCUUUAAGAUGCCAUCAGAGAGAGGGGAAGCAAGAGGCCAAGAAAAAUGAAAGGCCCUGCAUGUUUUUCUUCGGGAAGGCUGUGCAGUCUGCUCUGAGGAGACAGAUCAACCUAGCCCUUCUCCAGGACGAACUCCGAAAACCACAGGAAUUCACGUUCAAAGGAUGACGCAUCUCAGAAUCAGGUCUGUGUGUAUGUGAAUUGCUUUUAUCUCGUAGGAAAGAAAAUCCCCAUCUUAUACGGCCACUUUUUGACAAAA